UCACAAUUGCCGGGAGGUCCUGCUCCCGCUACAAGUGACCUUUCUGGUUCAAGCAAGUCUCACCCCGUUCAAAGUGGCUUAGCUAAUAAACCAACUGGUAGAAAGCAAUAUGGGAAAAGAAAAGAAUUAGACCGUAUGUAUACUCCAUUUUGACUAUACUUUAAUGCUGACAUUUUCUUUUGCCUUUUUUUUUUGGAUUACACGGCAUUGAAAUUCCAUGCAUUCAUGCAGUCAGAACAUUGGUGGUUGUUUGAUCGGGAUUGGAUGGUGAAGAAGAUAUGAAGAUUGUGAUUUUUUUUUUAAUUUUUAAUUUUUUACAAAAUUGUGAUUUUUUUUAAAAAAAUCUAAAAUGGCGAGCUUAAAACCAGCACCGUCCAAUCUUGAUCAAACUGGUCACCAAUGUCUUGACUGCACGAAUGAAUGGAACGUGCCUGAUCUAGAUCAGUAGGUAUAACAUUUAAAGACUGCAACCAAUGAGAUCAGAAGGUAUAACUUUUUAUAAAAUCAAAAUAUACCUUCCAGUCACCGACUGCACGCAGUCACUGACUGCACAGGAUCCGUGUCCCCUCUUAAAACUAAUAUAUAUUUUCCUGAUUUCUGAAAAUAAUUAAAUCAAUGUAUUGGAUUUGGUCAACACAAGUAAAAUUAUACCAA
RNAcentral lists this long non-coding RNA (654 nucleotides) under Trifolium pratense (red clover). RNAcentral's name for it is "long non-coding RNA (TPRA_LNC011854)". The record is from RNAcentral. Lineage: Eukaryota; Viridiplantae; Streptophyta; Magnoliopsida; Fabales; Fabaceae.